This 73-nucleotide transfer RNA is filed under the name Stegodyphus mimosarum. It matches the Rfam family "tRNA". Rfam says of the family: Transfer RNA (tRNA) molecules are approximately 80 nucleotides in length. Their secondary structure includes four short double-helical elements and three loops (D, anti-codon, and T loops). Further hydrogen bonds mediate the characteristic L-shaped molecular structure. tRNAs have two regions of fundamental functional importance: the anti-codon, which is responsible for specific mRNA codon recognition, and the 3' end, to which the tRNAs corresponding amino acid is attached (by aminoacyl-tRNA synthetases). tRNAs cope with the degeneracy of the genetic code in two manners: having more than one tRNA (with a specific anti-codon) for a particular amino acid; and 'wobble' base-pairing, i.e. permitting non-standard base-pairing at the 3rd anti-codon position. The record is from Rfam by way of RNAcentral. Lineage: Eukaryota; Metazoa; Arthropoda; Arachnida; Araneae; Eresidae.
GCCUUCGUGGUGUAGUGGUCAGCACGCUCGGCGCGUAUUCGAGAGGUCCGUGGUUCGAAUCCAGUCGAGGGCA